Molecule: long non-coding RNA, 3611 nt
Filed under: Sus scrofa (pig)
Lineage: Eukaryota; Metazoa; Chordata; Mammalia; Artiodactyla; Suidae
Description: lncRNA (ENSSSCG00000052407.1)
Source: RNAcentral
UUUUGUUUUUUUUGCCUCAGAAUUGCUUUGUCAAUUCUGGGUCUUUUGUGGCUCCAUAUAAAUUUUUGUAUUGUUUGUUCUAGUUCUGUGAAAAAUGUCAUGGGUUAUUUGAUAGGGAUUGCAUUGAAUCUAUAGAUUGCUUUGGGUAAUAUGGCCAUUUUUACAAAAUUAAUUUUUCUAGCCCAGGAGCAUGGGAUAUCUUUCCAUUUCUUUACAUCUUCUUUAAUUUCCUGAUUAAUGUUUUAUAGUUCUCAGAAUAUAAGUCUUUUACCUCCUUGGUCAGGUGUUAGAAUAUGUUUCUUAGAUAAGGAAAUGACCAUCAUAUUCCUAUUUUUAUGCAGCCACCUUAGGGAAAACAUUUUAUGACCCUUUUGGAAUCUUUCCUGGGGCAUUUUCUUUAUCUUCACUUCUUUUCUAUUUUUUGUCUUAAAUAAUUUUAAGUAACAUUGCUUACUUGCUUUAUUUAAAAUAAGCCACAUUUCUAUUUAGAGAUGCAAAACAUUUCUAUUACAGAAAAACAGAAAAUAUAAACAUAAGAAAAAAAAUUAACAGCAUGCUUCUUCCAAUCCAGAGAUAGCAACUUAUUGAAUUAUCUAACCCCACUUCUGUGCAUAGAUUUGUAAUUUAUAUGUAGAUAGGAAGAAAUGAUCUCUAGCUAGAUGGCACGUGAACUAGAUGAUACAUAGAGAUUAAAUGUUUUAAGUUAUGCAACCAACUGUUUUGAAGCUGAGAUUUCUUUGGCUUUAUAGCAUUUUUUCCCCUUGAAUUCUGAAGCUCUGAAUGCUCCAUUCUGAGCUGUUAAAAAAUUAUGAAUUUUUAACAUGUCCAAGGAUGAAUUAAUACUCCCAGAUUAUAUUGACUAUUUGUGAGCCAUGCUGGUUUUGGAAAGCUUUUACGUUUUAAAUACUCAGGGAGGUAGGUGAAAUUCACACCCUAAAUUCAGACCUGAUUCAAGACUCAACUUGAGGUUUCUCUUGGGCAUCCGCCACAGCUCUGAAUGGCAAUGCUUCAUUUCAUCCAUCUCAGAAAUCACCUUUCCUGGUUCCUUACCACUGCUCCAUGGGGAAACUUAUUCUCAGGGAAAGCUCUGAUGCAGGAGGUGCAACCUCCAUUUUAAGUUAGUUAAACCUCCUGGACUAGAAUCUGAGUACAGGGUUAAAAAACAAACAAAAGAAAACAGAAGGGGACAUUCAUGUCAUCUCUCUCCAGGAGAUUUCUUUUUAAAUUAAAUAGCCACCCUCUUCUCCCAAAGACAUUAGAUUCUAAAAAAUAUAUUUAAAUAGCACCCAGAUUACAAUUCCUCCUGAUAACAACCAGGAAAUUGAACUGAGCCUGUCAUUCUUUCCUUAACUUGGACUGUUCUGGCUUAUUCCUUUACAAGUUUAUGAGUUAACAGUGAGGCACAGGCUGAACUUCCUAUUUCCUGGCUGGUGUUCACUGAUGUCAUGAAUUUGUUGAAAUACGACUUUAAAACACCAUCACUGUGCGUUUGCUCCUGGUCAAAAUCUGAUGGCAGCUUCCUUUGUUAGAUUUAGUCCUUUUAGUCCUUUCUCAAUUUGCUGUCUGUUUCCCUUUCUGUUCAAAAGUACAGGAUUUGGUGGAACCCACUACCCUGAGGGAUACUGAGUAGCACUUAAAAUUAUUUGAUAACAGAAAACUGUCUUCAGUCACUUUGUAGCAAAGCCAUGGUGAGGUCUGCAACAUUAUAUAUUUAAAUUUCUCUUGUUAUAGAAAAACAAUACAGAAGUGAGGUCCAGAUAAAACCCAUCGCUUCCGAGAGCAGGAUCACCCCCUUCCACACAAUCACAUUCAUUUCCAGCUUCCCUUUUGACCAUCUGUGGAGCUUUGGGGAAAGUGGAAUUAAAUCUGGAGAUUUUCAUUUGUCUUGAUUUUCUUGCUCAGGGUAAACUGUUUCAAAGAAAGUUGAAAUGAGACUAACAUUUUCCAAAGUGUCUACCUUUCAGUCUCACUGCAGAAAAGCUCUGGAAUUUUUUUCACUGUGCUGAAAUACCAUGACACCUGUCUAGACCAAUUAUGGUGAGAGAGUGGUUGAGGCUCUGCAAUAGAAAUGAUGGAUGUGCCUGGGAUGGUUUUAGUGACUCAUUAGCCAAAUGCUACAAAGAUAUAAAAGUUUUCGUGGUUUUUAUUUUCAUUUACAUCAAGAGCCUGCUUAAACCCAUACCAUUCUCUCCAUUACCUCUUUCUUUUGCGGUUGAAAGAAACUAUCUGCUCCAACCACCCAGCUUGCCUCAAACUUAAUAUGCAAACUGUCGUGUCGCCUGUGCCUUUUUAGUUACCCCAAUCCCAUUUCUAACUAGUGAUUUCCAAACUGGAGGAGGAAAGUGGCAGGGAUUUAGGUAUGCCUUAAAUUCAUUUCUUUCCAUCCAUCUCUUGUGUUUGGAAGAUGGACAUACAGAGUGGUUUGGUUUUUUUUUUUUUCUUUCCUUUUUAUUUCUUUUUCUCUUCGGAUCAGUUUAUGGUAUUUGGGUUUGCUUUUGUUUCUUAUUCUCCUCACCCAGCCUCCAUCUUCUUAUUCCCUCCUGUGAUUAGUCCUGUGGCAGGUGCAUCUUUCUUUGGUGCUUUGGAAAACACUAGGCCUUUAUUCAUAUUAAGUCCACAAUAUCAUAAAUGAAAUUUUGAUUUGGGUGUAGAGGUUGCCCUGCUUGUAAUAUGAAUCAUAAACACCAGCAAUGCAAUUUUAAGAAGCUGAUUUUUCUUCCCCUGAAGAAGGAAGGAAAAUAAAAUCUCAGCAUCUGCUAGAGUCAGACCACCCACCCCCCUCCCCUGCUUACUUACUCUGAACAAAGGCUAGGCAAUCUCAGUCCUUCUGAAUACUGUAUGAAAUUCCAGGCCACAUACAGAGCAUGUAUGGAAACAGAAUGUGCAGCAGGAGAUGGAUUGCACCGCUCGCAGUAUUUACGUAUCGGCAGCCCUGUUUGCGUACACACACAUACCGCACACUCGAGUGGGGGAACGGGGGGCUGGUGGUCUAGAUUUAUAUUUCCCAUCACUGAGCUCUAUCCUUUGGGAUCAACUUUGUCACGGGAGCACUGGUGGGGGUUUAUUACAGUGUAUGACAGCAGGUGUGGGGCUGUAUGUACACUGUACAUUCAUUGUCCUCCUGGCUCAGGAUUUAUACAGUCGCACACCCCUUCUUUCCAAGAGCUUACUUGGUGCACAGACAUUCAUAUAUCUAUAGGACGGGGUCCUGCGUAAGGCCCGUGGGGGCAGUGACAGGACCCUAGCCAUCUCAGCCAGUGCUGGAAGUACAUUGAAAGGAAUUUGAUUCUCAUACUUACUGCUUUUCAUUUUAAAAUUGAGAUUCUUUAAGAGACAGAAAUGGCCACUGAACUAGACAUUCUGGCCAUGCUAGAAGAAAUUCAGAUAUUUGCCAAUGUGACGGAGAACAAAUAAAGUAGAUGCAAAUGCUCCCUGAAGCUAUAAAUUUAGUCAAAUUGUCAAUUUAUUAAGUAUCUACUCUGGUCAAGGCAGGCUUAUCACCUAGUACUGUAAGGAACACAAGAGGGUUCCUACAAUUGAGAAGAUUUAGCUUCUCAGGAUGUAAAUGAUACAACUCCCCUCCCAUUCCCUUGGACCCUUUGUUUUCUGGU